RNAcentral lists this ribosomal RNA (207 nucleotides) under uncultured bacterium. Its description in RNAcentral is "partial 16S ribosomal RNA". It matches the Rfam family "Bacterial small subunit ribosomal RNA", at positions 568 to 774 of the family's 1533-position model. The record is from RNAcentral.
UGUGUAGGAGGUCGGGUAAGUCAGGUGUGAAAUCUCAGAGCUUAACUCUGAAACUGCGCUUGAUACUGCUCGGCUAGAGGAUCGGAGGGGGUAUCGGAGUUUAUGGUGUAGCAGUGAAAUGCGUAGAUAUCAUAAGGAACACCGGUGGCGAAGGCGGAUACCUGGAAGAUUCCUGACUCUGAAACACGAAAGCCAGGGAGGCAAACG